CUUAAUAGCGGAGUGAGGAAGGAUCAUUAC
This 30-nucleotide ribosomal RNA is filed under the name Phytophthora capsici. RNAcentral's name for it is "partial 18S ribosomal RNA". The record is from RNAcentral. Lineage: Eukaryota; Oomycota; Peronosporomycetes; Peronosporales; Peronosporaceae.